CAGAUCUGAGCUCUCGGCCCAGGACAGGAGAGUUGGGCAAAGGGGGCCAUUGGCCCUUGGCUGGGCGAUGGCUAGAGAGAUGGGGCCCAGAACUAUAGGCAAAGACAUUUGGAGAGCUGGGUGGAUCCUCUGAAGGGAAAUGGAGGCUCAGAGAAGCCUAGCCCUUGUUGUGAGUUGGGCCCUUUAACAUUCCUACCCCCCUCUCUCUCUCUCUCUCUCUCUCUCUCUCUCUCUCUCUCUCGCUCUCUCUCUCUCUUUUUUUUUGUACUGGGGAUUAAACCCCAGAGAGCCUUACCACUGAGCUACAUCCCCAGCCCUUUGUAUUUUUUAUUUUGAGACAGAAUCUUUCUUAGUUGCCAAGGCUAUCGUCAAAUUUGCAAUUCUCCUGCCUCAGCCUCCCAUAUCACUAGGAUUGCAAGUGUGUGCCACCAUGCCAGAACAUUCCCAUCUUUAUUACCCCUACUUUCAUGAUGAGGAAUCUGAGGUUCAGUGAGGUAAAGGGUCUUGGUCUGUGUCUUAGUUUGUUUCCUGUUGCUAAUAGACACAAUACAACAGACUAGGCAAAUAAUUAACAGAAGAGGUUUAUAUGUCAGGUGUGGUGGGCAGUGCCUGUAAUUCCAGUGACUAAUAGGCUGAGGCAGGAGGAUCACAAGUUCAAGGCCAGUCUGGGCAACUUAGGGAGACCUUAAGCAACUUAGCAAGAGCCUGUCCCAAAAUAAAAAUAUUUUAUUUUAUUUUAUUUAUAUUUUUUAAAGAGAGAGAGAAUUUUUUUUUUAAUAUUUAUUUUUCAGUUUUUGGCGGACACAACAUCUUUGUUUGUAUGUGGUGCUGA
RNAcentral lists this long non-coding RNA (832 nucleotides) under Marmota monax (woodchuck). Lineage: Eukaryota; Metazoa; Chordata; Mammalia; Rodentia; Sciuridae. The record is from RNAcentral.